This 30-nucleotide non-coding RNA is filed under the name Mus musculus (house mouse). The record is from RNAcentral. Lineage: Eukaryota; Metazoa; Chordata; Mammalia; Rodentia; Muridae.
UCAUGAAAUACUUUGAGAUGCUGAUAUUCU